AUGAGUGCUAUGACAUGGAGCUGUAUGAGUGGACUAGGGUGGACAUCUCCGAUGAAGCUCAGAAGGAGCGAGUUAGUGCCAUGAUCGAGGACCAGGAGCCCUUCGAGGGUGAGGCUCUAUUGGAUGCGAAGUGUUUCAAGUGAAGAUGGGGGAUGACAUCCAAGUCUUGCUGGGUACCUAUUUCAUUUUGAUGAAACUUAAUUAAGUCGCUAUAUAGUUUUUUCGGCUAUGUUUUGAUUGUCUAGAGGAUGUGUUUUCUGACAUCAAAUUUCAUUGACAGUUUUGUGUUUCUUUUCUGCUACUGUUAGCGUGUUUUUGUGUGAUGGGGCUCUUGUUACAAUCUGU
This 345-nucleotide unclassified non-coding RNA is filed under the name Hevea brasiliensis (rubber tree). Lineage: Eukaryota; Viridiplantae; Streptophyta; Magnoliopsida; Malpighiales; Euphorbiaceae. The record is from RNAcentral.